GUAAUAGAGGUCGCAACCAAUAAGAGUACCUUUUCGGAGACUUCCCAAGUCGAUGAUGAAAAGCAAAAGGAGCGGUUGCCGAAGUGUCAGUCCCCGGGACGGGCUGGUGCUGGGACGUAGUUGAACAAACUACGGACUGUCGCAGCAAUGCGGAGCGCUAUU
Molecule: non-coding RNA, 162 nt
Filed under: uncultured Ligilactobacillus sp.
Lineage: Bacteria; Bacillati; Bacillota; Bacilli; Lactobacillales; Lactobacillaceae
Description: Lysine riboswitch
Rfam family: Lysine riboswitch aptamer
About the family: Riboswitches are metabolite binding domains within certain messenger RNAs that serve as precision sensors for their corresponding targets. Allosteric rearrangement of mRNA structure is mediated by ligand binding, and this results in modulation of gene expression. This family includes riboswitches that sense lysine in a number of genes involved in lysine metabolism, including lysC.
Source: RNAcentral